Molecule: non-coding RNA, 138 nt
Organism: Triticum aestivum (bread wheat)
Lineage: Eukaryota; Viridiplantae; Streptophyta; Magnoliopsida; Poales; Poaceae
Source: Rfam
AUGUUACUCCCUCCGUCCGAAAAUACUUGUUGUCAUCAAAAUGGAUAAAAAGGGAUGUAUCUAGAAUUAAUAUACAUCUAGAUACACCCCCUUUAAUUUAUUUUGAUGACAAGUAUUUCCGGACGGAGGGAGUACCUU